GCGCAGCAGUCGCGAAAACUUCACAAUGUGCGAAAGCACGAUGAGGGAAUCCCAAGUGCUUGCACGUAAGUGUAAGCUGUUUCUCUGUCUAAAACGCAGAGAGAGUAAGGGCUGGGUAAGACGGGUGCCAGCCGCCGCGGUAAUACCUGCAGCUCGAGUGGUGACCGUUAUUAUUGGGCCUAAAACGUCCGUAGCCGGUUUAAUAAAUGCCUGGGUAAAUCGGACCGCUUAACGGUUCGAAUUCCGGGUAGACUGUUAAACUUGAGACCGGGAGAAGUUAGAGGUACUCCCGGGGUAGAGGUGAAAUUCUGUAAUCCUAGGGGGACCACCAGUGGCGAAGGCGUCUAACUAGAACGGGUCUGACGGUGAGGGACGAAGCCCGUGGGGCG
Molecule: ribosomal RNA, 389 nt
Filed under: uncultured microorganism
Description: bacterial SSU rRNA
Rfam family: Archaeal small subunit ribosomal RNA
Source: RNAcentral